AUUUGAUGUUGGGGGCACUUGAUGCACAACUUCUUGAAUCGCUUCCAGUAAUCAUAGAGUGACUUCUUUGGUUGCUACUUGAUACCACAGAUCUUCUUUCUUAAACU
This is a small nucleolar RNA of Coffea eugenioides, 107 nucleotides long. NCBI's taxonomy places the organism in Eukaryota, Viridiplantae, Streptophyta, Magnoliopsida, Gentianales, Rubiaceae. The record is from RefSeq and is a predicted model, not a curated record.